This 253-nucleotide ribosomal RNA is filed under the name uncultured bacterium. RNAcentral describes it as "partial 16S ribosomal RNA". It matches the Rfam family "Bacterial small subunit ribosomal RNA", at positions 524 to 776 of the family's 1533-position model. The record is from RNAcentral.
UACGUAGGGCGCAAGCGUUGUCCGGAAUUAUUGGGCGUAAAGAGCUCGUAGGCGGUUUGUCGCGUCUGCUGUGAAAUCCCGAGGCUCAACCUCGGGCUUGCAGUGGGUACGGGCAGACUAGAGUGCGGUAGGGGAGACUGGAAUUCCUGGUGUAGCGGUGGAAUGCGCAGAUAUCAGGAGGAACACCGAUGGCGAAGGCAGGUCUCUGGGCCGCAACUGACGCUGAGGAGCGAAAGUGUGGGGAGCGAACAGG